ACGCGCUCGCGAUCGAUGUGAACGCCGGCUCAGGCUCCGCGCCCCGCCCACUCGGCCAGCAAACCGGACUCACUGCGCCUGCGCCGGAGCGAGGCCGCGGCGGGGAUGGCGCAGGUGCGCGGCGUCCUAGCUCCAGGUUGUGGACGAAAACCUUUGGAGGAUUUCUGGUGCUAGACAAGAUGGCGUAUGCCCACUGCAGUCUCUCUCUUCCACUUAUGAUGACUAAAAAUGCUGGACAAAAAGAACUACCUGAGAACUCUGAAAACUUUGACCUGAGAGCCUCAAGGUCCCAGGUAAGGGGCCUCCCAGCAGCAGAGGCAGCAAAAACUGAGAGAAACUUAAAAGAAAACAGCUCUCGUUUCUUCUACUCUACUCAGCAACACUUCUGACACCAAAUGUGUGGGGCUUUUUCCCACAUCAAACAAUUCUCCAGCUCUCUAGAUGCCAACCAGUCCAACUGGCGUCCAAUUGGACCAAUUCUGACACCACCUGGAACUAGCACAGAACCCACAAGUUAAGGGCUCAGUCCCCAAAGACUGCCCCUACUUCAGACGUCAGUCAUAUGCCCCAGGUUGUCACUGGGAUACUGACCAACUGGCUAUAAAUUGGGGGGUUCCCUUAACCCCUUCCUCGGGUUUGAUAAUUUGCCACAGCGGCUCACAGAACUCAGAGAAACACUUACUUAUAUUUACUGGUCUAUCAUAGAGGAACAUCCAGAUGAAGUACAUAAGGUGAAGUCUGGAAGGGUCCUGAGUGCAGGUGCUUCUGUCCCUGUGGAAGUUGAGGUGCAUUACUCUUCCUGGUGCAUGGAUGUGUUCACCAGCCCAGAGGCUCUGUGAACCUCUUUGGUAAGGGUUUCUUUUUUUUUUUAAGAUUUUAUUUAUUUGAGAGAGAGCAUGAGCAGGGGGAGGGGAAGAGGAAGAGGGAGAAGCAGACUCCCCACUGAACAGGGAGCCCGACCGGAACUUGCUAUCAGGACCCUGGGAUUGUGACCUGACCGCCUGACAAAAAGCAGACGCUUAGACUGACUGAGCCACCCAGGCGCCCCUCUUUGGUAAGGCUUUUUAAGGGAGGUUUCAUCACAUACCAUAUACCAUAAUCAUUAACUCAAUCUCCAGCUCCUCUCCCCUGUCCCAGAGGAUGGGGAUGGGGCUGAAAGUUCCAAGCUGACAAUGAUGGCUUGGUCUUUCUGGUGACCAGCCCCCCAUCCUGAAGCUAUCCCGGAGAUCACCAUGAGUCACCUCAAAAGACGAGGUGAACAAAAGAUGCUCCUAUCACUCAGGAAAUUCCAAGAAUUUUAGGAGCUGUGUGUCAGGGACUGGAGGCAGAGACCAAAUAUGUAUUUCUUAUGUCACAAACUACAUCUCUCUGACCAGAGGACUUGGGAAAAGUGUCCCUGCGAGCUGGGGCGGGGGUGGGG
This is a long non-coding RNA of Mirounga angustirostris (Northern elephant seal), 1420 nucleotides long. RefSeq lists it as uncharacterized. Lineage: Eukaryota; Metazoa; Chordata; Mammalia; Carnivora; Phocidae. The record is from RefSeq and is a predicted model, not a curated record. The transcript is spliced from 3 exons.